This 253-nucleotide ribosomal RNA is filed under the name uncultured bacterium. RNAcentral describes it as "partial 16S ribosomal RNA". It matches the Rfam family "Bacterial small subunit ribosomal RNA", at positions 524 to 776 of the family's 1533-position model. The record is from RNAcentral.
UACGUAGGGGGCUAGCGUUGUCCGGAUUUAUUGGGCGUAAAGAGCGUGUAGGCGGCCUGAAAGGUCAGCUGUGAAAACUCGAGGCUCAACCUCGAGACGUCGGUUGAAACCAUCUGGCUAGAGUCCGGAAGAGGAGUGUGGAAUUCCCGGUGUAGCGGUGAAAUGCGCAGAUAUCGGGAGAAACACCUAUGGCGAAGGCAGCUCGCUGGGACGUUACUGACGCUGAGACGCGAAAGCGUGGGGAGCAAACAGG